This is a transfer RNA of 107 nucleotides. It matches the Rfam family "tRNA". Rfam says of the family: Transfer RNA (tRNA) molecules are approximately 80 nucleotides in length. Their secondary structure includes four short double-helical elements and three loops (D, anti-codon, and T loops). The record is from Rfam.
CUCACCAUAGCUCAGUUGGUAGAGCGUCGGACUGUAAUCUGAUACCUCGCCUCUCGACAGAGAGUUAAUACAUCCGCAGGUCCUGUGUUCGACUCACAGUGGUGAGA